GGAGGGGUGGCAGAGCUUGGUUGAAUGCACUGGUCUUGAAAACCAGCAGGUCAGAAAUGGCCUCGUGGGUUCGAAUCCCACCUCCUCCGCCA
Molecule: transfer RNA, 92 nt
Filed under: Flavobacteriaceae bacterium
Lineage: Bacteria; Pseudomonadati; Bacteroidota; Flavobacteriia; Flavobacteriales; Flavobacteriaceae
Also listed under: 1 other name
Description: tRNA-Ser
Rfam family: tRNA
About the family: Transfer RNA (tRNA) molecules are approximately 80 nucleotides in length.
Source: RNAcentral